RNAcentral lists this ribosomal RNA (253 nucleotides) under uncultured bacterium. RNAcentral's name for it is "partial 16S ribosomal RNA". It matches the Rfam family "Bacterial small subunit ribosomal RNA", at positions 524 to 776 of the family's 1533-position model. The record is from RNAcentral.
UACAGAGGGAGCAAGAGUUAAUCGGAAUUACUGGGCGUAAAGCGCACGUAGGCGGCUUGGUAUGUCGGGUGUGAAAACCCCGGGCUCAACCUGGGAACUGCAUCCGAAACUGCCUUGCUGGAGUAUGGGAGAGGGAAGCGGAAUUUCCGGUGUAGCGGUGAAAUGCGUAGAUAUCGGAAGGAACAUCAGUGGCGAAGGCGGCUUCCUGGACCAAUACUGACGCUCAGGUGCGAAAGCGUGGGGAGCAAACAGG